GGAACUAAUAAAAACAAAAUGGAAGGUCAGCUGAAAAGUAGAAUUUCACGAACACCAUCUCAAUACGUCCGAUCAGCCAUUGAUGUGUCUAUCAAAACUCAAGUAGCUGGAGAACCAUCACUGGAGAGACCCCAAUUUCUGAUCCUUCUUCUAUUGGGAGUGUGUGUUUUUCCACCUCAAACAAGAGAAGAAGAAAAAAACACCAAGAGCAAAUUUAUGAGCCGUCGGAAUCGUUCAGCAACUCUCGUCUGUUGUAUCUCCUGCACCUCGCCACACCUACCAGCUUAGCUUGGAGAUGUGCAGCUCGAUUAGCAACUUCAAAUGAAACCACUGUUACCAUCAAGAUUGACAGAUGAAACGUGAAUGCACGCUAAGUAUUUAGACAAGAACAAAUUCUACCAGUAACUCAUGUGUCUUGGCAGCAUACCAUUUCAACACCUCAAGCUCUCACCAGGUGCAUGAUAUACUUACCAAUCGAACAUAUUUCAGACAUCAUAAGCAUAAUGGUAACUAUUCUCUUGUUCGAAUACAUUGUGCUCAUUAUUACUCGAACUACAUUGGCAAAAUAUGAUGAUACGCUAGACUUCCCUGCUUGUCUAAUUCCGAUCCUGCUUUUCUAACUGGAAAUGAGAUUGAUAGACCUUAUGUUGAACCUUCGUGCAGUGAAUUGUAUUUUAUUGAACCUACCAAUAAAAGUUGUAUAGAUUCAAUUCAUUUGUCUUCUUCUUAUGUGAGGAGUUCCGCUUUUAUCCAAGUUUAGGAUUCUUUGUCCUUCCAUAGGAAUGUCUUGAAAAUGGCUAAAGUGAUAAUCACCUGCAAAA
Molecule: RNA transcript, 821 nt
Organism: Solanum tuberosum (potato)
Lineage: Eukaryota; Viridiplantae; Streptophyta; Magnoliopsida; Solanales; Solanaceae
Exons: 3
Source: RefSeq, a predicted model, not a curated record